Molecule: long non-coding RNA, 1302 nt
Filed under: Rattus norvegicus (Norway rat)
Lineage: Eukaryota; Metazoa; Chordata; Mammalia; Rodentia; Muridae
Description: long non-coding RNA NONRATT026857
Rfam family: Small nucleolar RNA SNORA72 (bases 882-1013)
Source: RNAcentral
GCUCGGGGAGCUCCGCUAGUUGGUGUUUGACGCUCUGUAUCAUAAUCCUCACUUCUGCCCUCUGUGUAUUCUAGGUUGGGGCUUGUCCCGCACCUAAGGCAAGAGGAUGGUGGCUGCAAAGAAGACGAAAAAGUCUCUGGAGUCAAUCAACUCUCGGCUCCAACUUGUUAUGAAAAGUGGAAAGUACGUGCUGGGGUACAAACAGACUCUGAAGAUGAUCAGACAAGGCAAAGCGAAAUUGGUUAUCCUCGCCAACAACUGUCCAGCUUUGAGGAAAUCUGAAAUAGAAUACUAUGCCAUGUUGGCUAAAACUGGUGUCCAUCACUACAGUGGCAAUAACAUUGAAUUGGGCACAGCGUGUGGAAAAUACUACAGAGUAUGCACACUGGCUAUCAUUGACCCAGGUAUGCUUUUAAAAUUAUAUUUUUUUUCUAAUGUAUGUACUUAUUAGGCAGUGGCUUUGGUUCCUGAGUUCAGACCAUUAGAACUUCAGUAUUGAAAAAGAUAUGCCAUAAUUUUAUUUUGCAAAGAAUUGACAGUGCACAUCAGUACAUUGUAAUUGGCUUUUCUAUAAAUACAAAGAAAAAUUUUUUUAACUUUGUUAGGAGUUUUGUUUAAUGAAGUGAGGCCAGCCUGGCCUACAGAAUGAGUUCCAGGACAACUGGGGCAACACAGUGAAACUAUUUGUGUCUCUUCCCCCUCUUGACCCCUCUUACCACACCCCACAUCCUUGGGAAGAAGUGUUUGUUAGAAGGUGAAAAUACCAGGCCAGAUAAAGAGUCAUCUCAUUUUUGCUUGGGAACAAAUGCUUUGUGGUGAAUGCCCACAAAUACUCGUCAUCCUGUGUUUUGAGCUUAGACAUUUUAGUUGCCUGGUAGAACAUGCGAAUAUUCUCGCUGUUCUGAUUUUGUGAUAAUCAGGACAGGCUAAACAUUCGCUAUAGUACGACCAUGCAUGUGUCCCCAGACCUAGUUCUUUACCUGGGUCUGGUUUUCUCAAUGCUGGUGACAAGCCAGGUCUGAUUCAUUAAAUGUAUGAGCUGUAUAGUCAUAGGAUGACUGAGAUUUUAAGGUAUUUUUAAUUGGUUUUAAGAGUGACAGCCGCCACUUUAACAUUAUGCUAAUCUGCCUUCUUACCUAAAAAACAUGUAGGGGAAUUCUGUAAUUAUCAGUUGCCAUUAAAUGACUUGUAAACCUUUUAUUUUCUAGGUGAUUCCGAUAUUAUUAGAAGCAUGCCAGAACAGACUGGUGAGAAGUAAACAAGAAAGUUCUCCUUUAAUAAAACUUUGCCAGAGCUCCUUUU